RNAcentral lists this transfer RNA (76 nucleotides) under Candidatus Babelota bacterium. RNAcentral describes it as "tRNA-Pro". It matches the Rfam family "tRNA". Rfam says of the family: Transfer RNA (tRNA) molecules are approximately 80 nucleotides in length. Their secondary structure includes four short double-helical elements and three loops (D, anti-codon, and T loops). Further hydrogen bonds mediate the characteristic L-shaped molecular structure. tRNAs have two regions of fundamental functional importance: the anti-codon, which is responsible for specific mRNA codon recognition, and the 3' end, to which the tRNAs corresponding amino acid is attached (by aminoacyl-tRNA synthetases). tRNAs cope with the degeneracy of the genetic code in two manners: having more than one tRNA (with a specific anti-codon) for a particular amino acid; and 'wobble' base-pairing, i.e. permitting non-standard base-pairing at the 3rd anti-codon position. RNAcentral also lists the same sequence under 3 other names. The record is from RNAcentral.
CGGGGCGUGGCGCAAUUGGUAGCGUACUCGCUUUGGGAGCGAGGGGUUGUGAGUUCGAGUCUCGCCGCCCCGACCA